This 164-nucleotide ribosomal RNA is filed under the name uncultured bacterium. RNAcentral describes it as "partial 16S rRNA". It matches the Rfam family "Bacterial small subunit ribosomal RNA", at positions 355 to 511 of the family's 1533-position model. The record is from RNAcentral.
UAGGGAAUCUUCGGCAAUGGGGGCAAGUCUGAUGGAGCAACGCCGCGUGAGUGAAGAAGGUCUUCGGAUCGUAAAACUCUGUUGUUAGAGAAGAACACGAGUGAGAGUAACUGUUCAUUCGAUGACGGUAUCUAACCAGCAAGUCACGGCUAACUACGUGCCAG